Molecule: microRNA precursor, 196 nt
Filed under: Oryza meridionalis
Lineage: Eukaryota; Viridiplantae; Streptophyta; Magnoliopsida; Poales; Poaceae
Description: MIR812 microRNA precursor family
Rfam family: MIR812 microRNA precursor family
Source: Rfam by way of RNAcentral
UUUAAGUGUAUUUGUGGAUUUUCGUACCAAACGUUUGACCAUCCAUCUUAUUUUUUUAUUAGUAUUUUUAUUGUUAUUAAAUGAUAAAACAUAAAUAAUAAUUAUUAUCUAUACGUGACUUUUUUUAACUUUUUAUAUUUUUUAAAUAAAAUAGAAAAUCAAACGUUGGACAUAGAAACCCACGCCUAAAAUGCUA